RNAcentral lists this ribosomal RNA (252 nucleotides) under uncultured bacterium. RNAcentral describes it as "partial 16S ribosomal RNA". It matches the Rfam family "Bacterial small subunit ribosomal RNA", at positions 524 to 776 of the family's 1533-position model. The record is from RNAcentral.
GACAGAGGGUGCUAGCGUUGUUCGGAAUGACUGGGCGUAAAGGGCGCGUAGGCGGUUUUUCAAGUCAGAUGUGAAAGCCCCGGGCUUAACCUGGGAACGGCAUUUGAUACUGGAUGACUGGAGUACGAGAGAGGAAAGCGGAAUUCCUAGUGUAGAGGUGAAAUUCGUAGAUAUUAGGAGGAACACCAGAGGCGAAGGCGCUUUCUGGCUCGUAACUGACGCUGAGGCGCGAAAGCGUGGGGAGCAAACAGG